This 532-nucleotide long non-coding RNA is filed under the name Pelobates cultripes (western spadefoot toad). The record is from RNAcentral. Lineage: Eukaryota; Metazoa; Chordata; Amphibia; Anura; Pelobatidae.
CCCUAGACAACCUUGCUUUAUAUACAAAAUUUAACUAUCCAUUCAACCUUUAAAAGCUUAUUAAUAUUAUAUCUGUGUGGUACACAAAGAGGGGGGUGUGAGUUAGGUAAUCCCAUCCUGCAUAUGGAAUAAAGGCAGAGGUAGAGGAUUUGGUCAAAGGGUCUAACUUUUGUAGAGGUAACAACUUCAGCAUUGGUGGAACACACUGUUCUAAUUGUGGAUAGCAGGGUCACUGGAAAAAUGAGUGCCCAAACCCACCCCCACAGAUUCCUCAAUACCAACCAUAGCUUCCAACCUAUACCCACACCCAACAACCCCAGCCUAAUACACAGGUGGUUCAGGUUUGGAAUAUUUUAUAUAGUUUUAGGUGUUAAUCCAAGAGUAUUGAAUUUUUCGGGAUUAUUAAAGUAAUUAAUUUUGAAUAUCAAAUCAAGGUUCCAGUUUAGGAACAGAGUUUUAUUGGGAAUUAUCCCCAUAUGUAUAUGUUAGUGUUUUAAUAUUCAUCCUAACAAGGAUUUCUAUAGAGUGAGUG